CUGACUGCUAUCGGAUUGAUACUAAGCCAUGCGAGUCAUUGUAGCAAUACAAGGCAGACGGCUCAGUAACGCGUAGUCAAUCUACCCUAUGGACGGGAAUAACCUCGAGAAAACUGAGAAUAAUGCCCGAUAGAACAUUAUGCCUGGAAUGGUUUAUGUUUCAAAUGAUUUAUCGCCAUAGGAUGGGACUGCGGCCUAUCAGUUUGUUGGUGAGGUAAUGGCCCACCAAGACUAUUACAGGUACGGGCUCUGAGAGGAGUAGCCCGGAGAUGGGUACUGAGACACGGACCCAGGCCCUAUGGGGCGCAGCAGGCGAGAAAACUUUGCAAUGUGCGAAAGCACGACAAGGUUAAUCCGAGUGGUUUCUGCUAAAGAAACCUUUUGUCAGUCCUAGAAACACUAACGAAUAAGGGGUGGGCAAGUUCUGGUGUCAGCCGCCGCGGUAAAACCAGCACCUCAAGUGGUCAGGAUGAUUAUUGGGCCUAAAGCAUCCGUAGCUCGUUUUGUAAGUUUUCGGUUAAAUCCAUGCGCUUAACGUAUGGGCUGCCGGGAAUACUGCAUAACUAGGAAGUGGGAGAGGUAGACGGUACUCGGGAGGAAGGGGUAAAAUCCUUUGAUCUCUUGAUGACCACCUGUGGCGAAGGCGGUCUACCAGAACACGUUCGACGGUGAGGGAUGAAAGCUGGGGGAGCAAACCGGAUUAGAUACCCGGGUAGUCCCAGCUGUAAACUAUGCAAACUCAGUGAUGCAUUGGCUUAUGGCCAAUGCGGUGCUGCAGGGAAGCCGUUAAGUUUGCCGCCUGGGAAGUACGUACGCAAGUAUGAAACUUAAAGGAAUUGGCGGGGGAGCACCACAAGGGGUGAAGCCUGCGGUUCAAUUGGAGUCAACGCC
RNAcentral lists this ribosomal RNA (891 nucleotides) under uncultured archaeon. RNAcentral describes it as "bacterial SSU rRNA". It matches the Rfam family "Archaeal small subunit ribosomal RNA", at positions 23 to 919 of the family's 1478-position model. The record is from RNAcentral.